GAAAGAAGCUGUCCCCUGCAUCCCUGACUAGACCGUGGUACAUUUACUGUCAAAAACAACAAUUUCACAUGGACAAAGGGACAUGUUUAUCAACUUUUACACUUCCCCUGCAGCUGCCUACUGACUGUCUCCCAGACCGGG
This is a long non-coding RNA of Seriola dumerili (greater amberjack), 141 nucleotides long. RefSeq lists it as uncharacterized. The record is from RefSeq and is a predicted model, not a curated record. NCBI's taxonomy places the organism in Eukaryota, Metazoa, Chordata, Actinopteri, Carangiformes, Carangidae. The transcript has 3 exons.